UACCAGCACCCCGAGUGGUCGGGGCGUUUAUUGGGCCUAAAGCGUCCGUAGCCGGUUCUACAAGUCUUCCGUUAAAUCCAACUGCUUAACAGGUGGGCUGCGGAAGAUACUAUAGAGCUAGGAGGCGGGAGAGGCAAGCGGUACUCGAUGGGUAGGGGUAAAAUCCGUUGAUCCAUUGAAGACCACCAGUGGCGAAGGCGGCUUGCCAGAACGCGCUCGACGGUGAGGGAUGAAAGCUGGGGGAGCAAACCGG
This 253-nucleotide ribosomal RNA is filed under the name uncultured bacterium. RNAcentral's name for it is "partial 16S ribosomal RNA". It matches the Rfam family "Archaeal small subunit ribosomal RNA", at positions 474 to 727 of the family's 1478-position model. The record is from RNAcentral.